GACGAACGCUGGCGGCGUGCCUAAUACAUGCAAGUAGAACGCUGAAGGAGGAGCUUGCUUCUCUGGAUGAGUUGCGAACGGGUGAGUAACGCGUAGGUAACCUGCCUGGUAGCGGGGGAUAACUAUUGGAAACGAUAGCUAAUACCGCAUAAGAGUAGAUGUUGCAUGACAUUUGCUUAAAAGGUGCAAUUGCAUCACUACCAGAUGGACCUGCGUUGUAUUAGCUAGUUGGUGAGGUAACGGCUCACCAAGGCAACGAUACAUAGCCGACCUGAGAGGGGGAUCGGCCACCCUGGGACUGAGACACGGCCCAGACUCCUACGGGAGGCAGCAGUAGGGAAUCUUCGGCAAUGGACGGAAGUCUGACCGAGCAACGCCGCGUGAGUGAAGAAGGUUUUCGGAUCGUAAAGCUCUGUUGUAAGAGAAGAACGAGUGUGAGAGUGGAAAGUUCACACUGUGACGGUAUCGUACCAGAAAGGGACGGCUAACUACGU
Molecule: ribosomal RNA, 494 nt
Filed under: uncultured bacterium
Lineage: Bacteria
Description: partial 16S ribosomal RNA
Rfam family: Bacterial small subunit ribosomal RNA
Source: RNAcentral